RNAcentral lists this ribosomal RNA (107 nucleotides) under Phycisphaerales bacterium. Lineage: Bacteria; Pseudomonadati; Planctomycetota; Phycisphaerae; Phycisphaerales. The record is from RNAcentral.
GUCGGUGACCAUAGAGUUGGUGUCACACCUGUUCCCAUCCCGAACACAGUAGUUAAGCCCAACUCGCCGAUGAUACUGUUCAGCGGGAAAGUAGGUUAUCGCCGACU